Molecule: ribosomal RNA, 1369 nt
Filed under: Micrococcus sp.
Lineage: Bacteria; Bacillati; Actinomycetota; Actinomycetes; Micrococcales; Micrococcaceae
Description: bacterial SSU rRNA
Rfam family: Bacterial small subunit ribosomal RNA
Source: RNAcentral
GAUGAAGCCCAGCUUGCUGGGUGGAUUAGUGGCGAACGGGUGAGUAACACGUGAGUAACCUGCCCUUAACUCUGGGAUAAGCCUGGGAAACUGGGUCUAAUACCGGAUAGGAGCGCCUACCGCAUGGUGGGUGUUGGAAAGAUUUAUCGGUUUUGGAUGGACUCGCGGCCUAUCAGCUUGUUGGUGAGGUAAUGGCUCACCAAGGCGACGACGGGUAGCCGGCCUGAGAGGGUGACCGGCCACACUGGGACUGAGACACGGCCCAGACUCCUACGGGAGGCAGCAGUGGGGAAUAUUGCACAAUGGGCGCAAGCCUGAUGCAGCGACGCCGCGUGAGGGAUGACGGCCUUCGGGUUGUAAACCUCUUUCAGUAGGGAAGAAGCGAAAGUGACGGUACCUGCAGAAGAAGCACCGGCUAACUACGUGCCAGCAGCCGCGGUAAUACGUAGGGUGCGAGCGUUUUCGGGAAUUAUUGGGCGUAAAGAGCUCGUAGGCGGUUUGUCGCGUCUGUCGUGAAAGUCCGGGGCUUAACCCCGGAUCUGCGGUGGGUACGGGCAGACUAGAGUGCAGUAGGGGAGACUGGAAUUCCUGGUGUAGCGGUGGAAUGCGCAGAUAUCAGGAGGAACACCGAUGGCGAAGGCAGGUCUCUGGGCUGUAACUGACGCUGAGGAGCGAAAGCAUGGGGAGCGAACAGGAUUAGAUACCCUGGUAGUCCAUGCCGUAAACGUUGGGCACUAGGUGUGGGGACCAUUCCACGGUUUCCGCGCCGCAGCUAACGCAUUAAGUGCCCCGCCUGGGGGAGUACGGCCGCAAGGCUAAAACUCAAAGGAAUUGACGGGGGCCCGCACAAGCGGCGGAGCAUGCGGAUUAAUUCGAUGCAACGCGAAGAACCUUACCAAGGCUUGACAUGUUCUCGAUCGCCGUAGAGAUACGGUUUCCCCUUUGGGGCGGGUUCACAGGUGGUGCAUGGUUGUCGUCAGCUCGUGUCGUGAGAUGUUGGGUUAAGUCCCGCAACGAGCGCAACCCUCGUUCCAUGUUGCCAGCACGUAAUGGUGGGGACUCAUGGGAGACUGCCGGGGUCAACUCGGAGGAAGGUGAGGACGACGUCAAAUCAUCAUGCCCCUUAUGUCUUGGGCUUCACGCAUGCUACAAUGGCCGGUACAAUGGGUUGCGAUACUGUGAGGUGGAGCUAAUCCCAAAAAGCCGGUCUCAGUUCGGAUUGGGGUCUGCAACUCGACCCCAUGAAGUCGGAGUCGCUAGUAAUCGCAGAUCAGCAACGCUGCGGUGAAUACGUUCCCGGGCCUUGUACACACCGCCCGUCAAGUCACGAAAGUCGGUAACACCCGAAGCCGGUGGCCUAACCCUUGUG